UUGACGGGGCCCGCACAAGCGGUGGAGCAUGUGGUUUAAUUCGAUGAUACGCGAGAAACCUUACCAGGGCUUGACAUAUACAGGAAUGUUGUAGAGAUACAGCAGCCGCUUGCGGUCUGUAUACAGGUGCUGCAUGGCUGUCGUCAGCUCGUGCUGUGAGGUGUCGGGUUAAGUCCCAUAACGAGCGCAACCCUACCUUUAGUUGCCAUCAGGUAAUGCUGGGGACUCUAAAGGAACUGCCUACGCAAGUAGUGAGGAAGGCGGGGAUGACGUCAAAUCAGCACGGCCCUUACGUCCAGGGCUACACACGUGCUACAAUGGCCGAUACAGAGGGCAGCUACCUGGUGACAGGAUGCAAAUCUCCAAAGUCGGUCUCAGUUCGGAUCGGAGUCUGCAACCCGACUCCGUGAAGUUGGAUUCGCUAGUAAUCGCGCAUCAGCCAUGGCGCGGUGAAUACGUUCCCGGGCCUU
RNAcentral lists this ribosomal RNA (470 nucleotides) under uncultured Sphingobacteriales bacterium. RNAcentral describes it as "bacterial SSU rRNA". It matches the Rfam family "Bacterial small subunit ribosomal RNA", at positions 910 to 1382 of the family's 1533-position model. The record is from RNAcentral. Lineage: Bacteria; Pseudomonadati; Bacteroidota; Sphingobacteriia; Sphingobacteriales.